UACGUAGGGGGCAAGCGUUGUCCGGAUUUAUUGGGCGUAAAGAGCGUGUAGGCGGUUAGGUAGGUCCGUUGUGAAAACUCGAGGCUCAACCUCGAGACGCCGAUGGAAACCAUCUAACUAGAGUCCGGAAGAGGAGAAUGGAAUUCCUGGUGUAGCGGUGAAAUGCGCAGAUAUCAGGAAGAACACCUAUGGCGAAGGCAGCUCUCUGGGACGGUACUGACGCUGAGACGCGAAAGCGUGGGGAGCGAACAGG
RNAcentral lists this ribosomal RNA (253 nucleotides) under uncultured bacterium. Its description in RNAcentral is "partial 16S ribosomal RNA". It matches the Rfam family "Bacterial small subunit ribosomal RNA", at positions 524 to 776 of the family's 1533-position model. The record is from RNAcentral.